RNAcentral lists this non-coding RNA (24 nucleotides) under Arabidopsis thaliana (thale cress). Lineage: Eukaryota; Viridiplantae; Streptophyta; Magnoliopsida; Brassicales; Brassicaceae. The record is from RNAcentral.
UACAACAUUGUGCAGCGUAUGAGU